This 465-nucleotide ribosomal RNA is filed under the name Vreelandella stevensii. RNAcentral's name for it is "partial 16S ribosomal RNA". It matches the Rfam family "Bacterial small subunit ribosomal RNA", at positions 338 to 795 of the family's 1533-position model. Lineage: Bacteria; Pseudomonadati; Pseudomonadota; Gammaproteobacteria; Oceanospirillales; Halomonadaceae. The record is from RNAcentral.
CCUACGGGGGGCAGCAGUGGGGAAUAUUGGACAAUGGGCGAAAGCCUGAUCCAGCCAUGCCGCGUGUGUGAAGAAGGCCUUCGGGUUGUAAAGCACUUUCAGUGGGGAAGAAAGCCUUGGGGCUAAUACCCUCGAGGAAGGACAUCACCCACAGAAGAAGCACCGGCUAACUCCGUGCCAGCAGCCGCGGUAAUACGGAGGGUGCGAGCGUUAAUCGGAAUUACUGGGCGUAAAGCGCGCGUAGGCGGUCUGAUAAGCCGGUUGUGAAAGCCCCGGGCUCAACCUGGGAACGGCAUCCGGAACUGUCAGGCUAGAGUGCAGGAGAGGAAGGUAGAAUUCCCGGUGGAGCGGUGAAAUGCGUAGAGAUCGGGAGGAAUACCAGUGGCGAAGGCGGCCUUCUGGACUGACACUGACGCUGAGGUGCGAAAGCGUGGGUAGCAAACAGGAUUAGAUACCCUAGUAGUC